This 1370-nucleotide ribosomal RNA is filed under the name uncultured bacterium. RNAcentral's name for it is "bacterial SSU rRNA". It matches the Rfam family "Bacterial small subunit ribosomal RNA". The record is from RNAcentral.
AGAGUUUGAUCCUGGCUCAGAACGAACGCUGGCGGCGUGGAUAAGACAUGCAAGUCGAACGAGAGAAUUGCUAGCUUGCUAAUAAUUCUCUAGUGGCGCACGGGUGAGUAACACGUGAGUAACCUGCCCCCGAGAGCGGGAUAGCCCUGGGAAACUGGGAUUAAUACCGCAUAGUAUCGAAAGAUUAAAGCAGCAAUGCGCUUGGGGAUGGGCUCGCGGCCUAUUAGUUAGUUGGUGAGGUAACGGCUCACCAAGGCGAUGACGGGUAGCCGGUCUGAGAGGAUGUCCGGCCACACUGGAACUGAGACACGGUCCAGACACCUACGGGUGGCAGCAGUCGAGAAUCAUUCACAAUGGGGGAAACCCUGAUGGUGCGACGCCGCGUGGGGGAAUGAAGGUCUUCGGAUUGUAAACCCCUGUCAUGUGGGAGCAAAUUAAAAAGAUAGUACCACAAGAGGAAGAGACGGCUAACUCUGUGCCAGCAGCCGCGGUAAUACAGAGGUCUCAAGCGUUGUUCGGAAUCACUGGGCGUAAAGCGUGCGUAGGCUGUUUCGUAAGUCGUGUGUGAAAGGCGCGGGCUCAACCCGCGGACGGCACAUGAUACUGCGAGACUAGAGUAAUGGAGGGGGAACCGGAAUUCUCGGUGUAGCAGUGAAAUGCGUAGAUAUCGAGAGGAACACUCGUGGCGAAGGCGGGUUCCUGGACAUUAACUGACGCUGAGGCGCGAAGGCCAGGGGAGCGAAAGGGAUUAGAUACCCCUGUAGUCCUGGCAGUAAACGGUGCACGCUUGGUGUGCGGGGAAUCGACCCCCUGCGUGCCGGAGCUAACGCGUUAAGCGUGCCGCCUGGGGAGUACGGUCGCAAGAUUAAAACUCAAAGAAAUUGACGGGGACCCGCACAAGCGGUGGAGUAUGUGGCUUAAUUCGAUGCAACGCGAAGAACCUUACCUGGGCUUGACAUGUAAUGAACAACAUGUGAAAGCAUGCGACUCUUCGGAGGCGUUACACAGGUGCUGCAUGGCCGUCGUCAGCUCGUGUCGUGAGAUGUUUGGUUAAGUCCAGCAACGAGCGCAACCCCUGCUGCCAGUUACCAGCACGUGAAGGUGGGGACUCUGGCGAGACUGCCCAGAUCAACUGGGAGGAAGGUGGGGACGACGUCAGGUCAGUAUGGCCCUUAUGCCCAGGGCUGCACACGUACUACAAUGCCCAGUACAGAGGGGGCCGAAGCCGCGAGGCGGAGGAAAUCCUAAAAACUGGGCCCAGUUCGGACUGUAGGCUGCAACCCGCCUACACGAAGCCGGAAUCGCUAGUAAUGGCGCAUCAGCUACGGCGCCGUGAAUACGUUCCCGGGUCUUGCACACACCGCCCGUCA